This 256-nucleotide ribosomal RNA is filed under the name uncultured bacterium. RNAcentral's name for it is "partial 16S ribosomal RNA". It matches the Rfam family "Bacterial small subunit ribosomal RNA", at positions 521 to 776 of the family's 1533-position model. The record is from RNAcentral.
UAAUACGGAGGGUGCAAGCGUUAUCCGGAUUUACUGGGUUUAAAGGGUGCGUAGGCGGGUUUUUAAGUCAGAUGUGAAAGCCUUGAGCUUAACUCAAGAACUGCGUUUGAUACUGGAGACCUUGAAUUCGAUAGAAGUGGGCGGAAUAAUUCAUGUAGCGGUGAAAUGCUUAGAUAUGAAUUAGAACACCAAUUGCGAAGGCAGCUCACUAUGUCGAUAUUGACGCUGAGGCACGAAAGCGUGGGGAUCAAACAGG